RNAcentral lists this small nucleolar RNA (90 nucleotides) under Anolis carolinensis (green anole). The record is from RNAcentral. Lineage: Eukaryota; Metazoa; Chordata; Lepidosauria; Squamata; Anolidae.
UAACCCCAAUGAUGUCAGCACUGGGCUCCGAUCACUGUGAUGAUUUUGGUGCCUUCUGGAGACUUGACACUCUAGGAGACUGAGGGGUUC